UUUUAAUAAAAUUUUAUAUUAAUUUUUGUAGCCACUGUAAAGGUUAAAUAAACUAUUUAAAAGAAAUUUGAUUUUCCUUUAGUAUCAGGAAUAUUCAAAUCCUAUUUAAAAUUAAUUUUUCCUGAAAAAAGGUCAUCUAUAAAUUUAUUUUAUUAUUGUAUCAAAAAUGCUAUUAAUAAAUUUAUUGAAGUUAGACUCUAUCCGAACCUUUUGAUAUCCGGUUUCUUUUUAUUUUUAAAAAAUAAUUAUAUUUAAAAAGAUAAUUUUUUAAAUUCAUUUUUUAAUCCUUUCUAGUUUAUUAGGAAUAAAAGUUUCCAAAAAGUUUCAUAACCAUAUCUUUACUUAAUUUAAAUUUUUUAUAAAAGAUUACCUUUAUUAAUUAUAAUAAUGAAAAUAUUAGUAGAAUUAUCUUCAUUAUUAACUCAAUAACUAGGCAAAAAAUUGAAUGACUGUUUACCAAAAACAUUUCUUACUGAAUUUAUUGUAAGUAACACCUGCUCAAUGAAUAUUUUAAAUAGCCGCGGAAAUUUAACCGUGCUAAGGUAGCAUAAUCAUUAGCCUCUUAAUUAGAGGCUCGUAUGAACGGUGAAACAUUUCAAUUACUUUUUUACUUAAUAUAUUUGAAUUUAAAUUAAGAAUAAAAAUGUUCUUAUUUAUAAAAUAGACGAUAAGACCCUUUUGAACUUCACUCUAGUUUAGCUGGGGCAGCUAAAAAAUAAUAAUCUUAUUUUUAAUAUUUAAAUAAAUGACCCAAUAAAAUUGAUUACAUGAACAAGUUACCAUAGGGAUAACAGCGUAAUAUCUUUUUAAAGCUCUUAUUAAAAAAGAAGAUUGCGACCUCGAUGUUGAAUUAGUGUAACUUUACUAAUGCAGUAAUUUUAAAAGUAGGUCUGUUCGACCUUUAAAACAUUACAUGAUUUGAGUUCAAAUCGGUGUAAACCAGAUUGGUUUCUAUCUUUUAUUUUUAUUUAUUCAGUACGAAAGGACCAAUAAAUUUAUUUUUAAUA
This 1007-nucleotide ribosomal RNA is filed under the name Argiope bruennichi. RNAcentral's name for it is "16S ribosomal RNA". The stretch from base 659 to 960 matches the Rfam family "Archaeal large subunit ribosomal RNA", at positions 2151 to 2715 of the family's 2987-position model. The record is from RNAcentral. Lineage: Eukaryota; Metazoa; Arthropoda; Arachnida; Araneae; Araneidae.